Long non-coding RNA from Varanus komodoensis (Komodo dragon), 723 nucleotides. RefSeq lists it as uncharacterized. NCBI's taxonomy places the organism in Eukaryota, Metazoa, Chordata, Lepidosauria, Squamata, Varanidae. The transcript has 3 exons. The record is from RefSeq and is a predicted model, not a curated record.
CAGAGGUGGUACCUCACUAUGGACAUAGUUGGACAUCACAACCACUGGAUGACAUUCAAACCAUCACAUAAAGGAGGAAAAGAUGGGAUUCAGAUGUAGCCAAAACAACUACAUCCCACCAGGAACUGAAAUCCAUCCCAUAAGACAAUCUUCAUGAACUGCAUGCUCUCCAGAUAUACAGUACUUCAAUUUCCAUCAUCCCUAGCCAGCAGGACAUUGUGAAUCACGGGAGUUGUAUCCUAAGGCAUCUGGAUGACACCAGAUAGAAAGUCAGUACUGAAGUGGCACACAAGUAUACCAGCCAUGCAAGCUUCACAUGAAAGCACUGACACCCUGGAAUACCAUUCUAGGAUGGCUGAACAAGGACUGUGUAGGUAUCUUUAUGAAAACUGUAAGUAGCCCCAAGUUGCAUUUUAUGCUUUAAUAAAAACUCUAAAUGGCUCUGGCAAUCUUUAAAUAGAUUAUUGCAGAGCACCCUUUGUGGGGCUGCCAAUGAAUGUUCAGAAGUUGCAGCUUGGGCAAAAUGUGGCAGCUAGAUUAUUAACGGGGACAAAAAGAGCAAACAUAAAAGGCCAAUUUUAGUCCACCUGAACUGACUGCCUGUAUGCUUUUGAGCCCAAGAUACUGGUUAUAACCAUAAAGCCCCACAUGCCUUUCCUGACCUCAAUUUACUUGGGCAUUACUAUCUACAACUAAGCUCUUCCUUCAACUGCCACCCAGGCA